This is a long non-coding RNA of Astatotilapia calliptera (eastern happy), 1253 nucleotides long. NCBI's taxonomy places the organism in Eukaryota, Metazoa, Chordata, Actinopteri, Cichliformes, Cichlidae. The record is from Ensembl.
GAGUUUCGAAGCACCAUGGAUGAUGAAUUUGAAGGUAAAUGCACCUUUCAAUUGUUUGCCAACCGCCAAUACGACUGUCAGAAAGAAAGAAAGAAGAAAGAGUUUGAAGGUACCAGCUCUCAGUCUGUGAGCUCAUCUGAAGAUGAUGGGACAGAUGACUGGAAACCCACACAGGAUGAAUCUGAAGGCUAUUCAGAAGAGGAGGAAGAACAAGAACGUAAAAGGAUUCCUAAGAUGGUGGCAGCAUCUGAAGAGGAUGGGACACAUGAUAGCAGACCCACACAAGAUGAAUCUAAAGAUGAUUCAAAGGAUGAAGCAGAACAUUUGGGACAAAUGAUUCACAAAGUGGCCAUGGAAAAGAUGCAGCAGGCCUAUGUAAGCCAAGACAAAGCAAUGACUGUGAAUAAGAGUUCAGAAAAAAGGGUGAUUCACCAAACCAGAUGCUUGAAGAGGCUCACUUUUCAUCAGUCAACUCUCUUUGAAGACACGAUACCAAGAUCUGAUAACAACAAGAAAGACCAAAGUGGAAUGUCAUCUGCAGCAAUAAUAACCUCAGAACAACUGGAGGAGAAAGAGAUACAAGAAGAGUCUCUGGAGAAGAUGAAGAGUGAAGACAAAGAAGGGAAGAGAAAAGAAAAAGUACAGCAGGAGCCUCUGGAGAAGAUGAGCGGCAAAAGGCAAAGGAAGGAAGAAAAGAUACAGGCAGAGCCUCUGGAGAAGAUGAGCGGCAAAAGGCAAAGGAAGGAAGAAAAGAUACAGGCAGAGCCUCUGGAGAAGAUGAGCGGCAAAAGGCAAAGGAAGGAAGAAAAGAUACAGGCAGAGCCUCUGGAGAAGAUGAAGAGUGAAGCCAAAGUAGGAAAGAGAAAAGAAAAAGUACAGCAGGAGCCUCUGGAGAAGAUGAGCGGCAAAAGGCAAAGGAAGGAAGAAAAGAUACAGGCAGAGCCUCUGGAGAAGAUGAGCGGCAAAAGGCAAAGGAAGGAAGAAAAGAUACAGGCAGAGCCUCUGGAGAAGAUGAGCGGCAAAAGGCAAAGGAAGGAAGAAAAGAUACAGGCAGAGCCUCUGGAGAAGAUGAGCGGCAAAAGGCAAAGGAAGGAAGAAAAGAUACAGGCAGAGCCUCUGGAGAAGAUGAAGAGUGAAGCCAAAGUAGGAAAGAGAAAAGAAAAAGUACAGCAGGAGCCUCAGGAGAAGAUGAGUGAAGGGGGAAAGGACUCUGAAAAUAAGGUGCAAUUUAUUCCAUUGCUCCCAGUAAGCCC